GCAGUCGAGCGAAUGGAUUGAGAGCUUGCUCUCAAGAAGUUAGCGGCGGACGGGUGAGUAACACGUGGGUAACCUGCCCAUAAGACUGGGAUAACUCCGGGAAACCGGGGCUAAUACCGGAUAACAUUUUGAACUGCAUGGUUCGAAAUUGAAAGGCGGCUUCGGCUGUCACUUAUGGAUGGACCCGCGUCGCAUUAGCUAGUUGGUGAGGUAACGGCUCACCAAGGCAACGAUGCGUAGCCGACCUGAGAGGGUGAUCGGCCACACUGGGACUGAGACACGGCCCAGACUCCUACGGGAGGCAGCAGUAGGGAAUCUUCCGCAAUGGACGAAAGUCUGACGGAGCAACGCCGCGUGAGUGAUGAAGGCUUUCGGGUCGUAAAACUCUGUUGUUAGGGAAGAACAAGUGCUAGUUGAAUAAGCUGGCACCUUGACGGUACCUAACCAGAAAGCCACGGCUAACUACGUGCCAGCAGCCGCGGUAAUACGUAGGUGGCAAGCGUUAUCCGGAAUUAUUGGGCGUAAAGCGCGCGCAGGUGGUUUCUUAAGUCUGAUGUGAAAGCCCACGGCUCAACCGUGGAGGGUCAUUGGAAACUGGGAGACUUGAGUGCAGAAGAGGAAAGUGGAAUUCCAUGUGUAGCGGUGAAAUGCGUAGAGAUAUGGAGGAACACCAGUGGCGAAGGCGACUUUCUGGUCUGUAACUGACACUGAGGCGCGAAAGCGUGGGGAGCAAACA
Molecule: ribosomal RNA, 736 nt
Filed under: Bacillus thuringiensis
Lineage: Bacteria; Bacillati; Bacillota; Bacilli; Caryophanales; Bacillaceae
Description: bacterial SSU rRNA
Rfam family: Bacterial small subunit ribosomal RNA
Source: RNAcentral